CACGUAGGGGGCGAGCGUUGUCCGGAUUUAUUGGGCGUAAAGAGCGUGUAGGCGGUUCGGUUAGUCGGAUGUGAAAGUCCGGGGCUCAACCCCGGGAUGCCAUUCGAAACUGCCGGACUAGAGGCAGGUAGGGGAGAGUGGAAUAUCUGGUGUAGCGGUGAUAUGCGCAGAUAUCAGAUGGAACACCGAUGGCGAAGGCAGCUCUCUGGGCCUGUCCUGACGCUGAGACGCGAAAGCGUGGGUAGCGAACAGG
RNAcentral lists this ribosomal RNA (253 nucleotides) under uncultured bacterium. RNAcentral's name for it is "partial 16S ribosomal RNA". It matches the Rfam family "Bacterial small subunit ribosomal RNA", at positions 524 to 776 of the family's 1533-position model. The record is from RNAcentral.